UGCGUAGGUGGUCUACUAAGUUGGAUGUGAAACCCCCGGGCUUAACUUGGGAACUGCAUCCAAUACUGGCGGACUAGAGUGCAGGAGAGGGAAGCGGAAUUCCUAGUGUAGCGGUGAAAUGCGUAGAUAUUAGGAGGAACACCAGUGGCGAAGGCGGCUUUCUGGACUGUAACUGACACUGAGGCACGAAAGCGUGGGGAGCAAACAG
RNAcentral lists this ribosomal RNA (208 nucleotides) under uncultured bacterium. RNAcentral describes it as "partial 16S ribosomal RNA". It matches the Rfam family "Bacterial small subunit ribosomal RNA", at positions 568 to 775 of the family's 1533-position model. The record is from RNAcentral.